GGUCUGAGUACGGCCUAAAUCAAUGAAGUCAUUGCUCAAUAUGAAAGUGAUGAUUUUGAUGGCAGUUACGUCUCAUUUGGCUGACACGCAGCAGGGACAUCUUCCUGCCAUUGGCCACGUCAAGCUGCGCAAGCGUGUUCGCUGCCGAAGUUGCCCAUCUAGAGACGACCACAAGACGAACACAGCAUGUUUGCGAUGCAACGGGCCCGUCUGCCUACAGCAUCAAACUGUCUUGUGUCCGAAGUGUGUGCCUCGUACGUAGGUAGCAAAUUUGGCCGUCGCACUUGUCGUGGGUGGGACCCCAUUUACUGAACAUAUCCAUUAGGUAGCAAAUUUGGCCGUCGCACUUGUCGUGGGUGGGGGCCCAUUUACUGUAUAUAUCAAUUAGAUUUUGACCUCUAUGGGUCCGACACCUUUUCUGGCUGUGGAGACUUGUAAAUUGUAGUUUUAGGAAGGAUUCCCUCAAUUUAUUUUCUUAUAUAGGAU
This is a long non-coding RNA of Macrobrachium nipponense, 486 nucleotides long. RefSeq lists it as uncharacterized. The transcript has 4 exons. NCBI's taxonomy places the organism in Eukaryota, Metazoa, Arthropoda, Malacostraca, Decapoda, Palaemonidae. The record is from RefSeq and is a predicted model, not a curated record.